AUUGAACGCUGGCGGCAUGCCUUACACAUGCAAGUCGAACGGUAACGCGGGGGCAACCCUGGCGACGAGUGGCGAACGGGUGAGUAAUACAUCGGAACGUACCCAGUAGUGGGGGAGUAGCUCGGCGAAAGCCGGAUUAAUACCGCAUACGACCUAUGGGUGAAAGCGGGGGAGUCGCAAGACCUCGCGCUAUUGGAGCGGCCGAUGUCGGAUUAGCUAGUUGGUGAGGUAAAGGCUCACCAAGGCUACGAUCCGUAGCUGGUCUGAGAGGACGACCAGCCACACUGGGACUGAGACACGGCCCAGACUCCUACGGGAGGCAGCAGUGGGGAAUUUUGGUACAAUGGGCGCAAGCCUGAUCCAGCCAUGCCGCGUGUGUGAAGAAGGCC
RNAcentral lists this ribosomal RNA (389 nucleotides) under uncultured bacterium. RNAcentral's name for it is "bacterial SSU rRNA". It matches the Rfam family "Bacterial small subunit ribosomal RNA", at positions 29 to 416 of the family's 1533-position model. The record is from RNAcentral.